UACGUAGGGUGCAAGCGUUGUCCGGAAUUAUUGGGCGUAAAGAGCUCGUAGGCGGUUUGUUGCGUCGGCUGUGAAAUCCCGAGGCUCAACCUCGGGUCUGCAGUCGAUACGAGCAAAGCUAGAGUGUUGCAGGGGAGACUGGAAUUCCUGGUGUAGCGGUAGAAAUGCGCAGAUAUCAGGAGGAACACCGGUGGCGAAGGCGGUUCUCUGGGCAUUACCUGACGCUGAGGAGCGAAAGUGUGGGGAGCGAACAGG
RNAcentral lists this ribosomal RNA (255 nucleotides) under uncultured bacterium. RNAcentral's name for it is "partial 16S ribosomal RNA". It matches the Rfam family "Bacterial small subunit ribosomal RNA", at positions 524 to 776 of the family's 1533-position model. The record is from RNAcentral.